GAUGAACGCUGGCGGUGUGCCUAAUACAUGCAAGUCGAGCGAACAGACGAGGAGCUUACUCCUCUGACGUUAGCGGCGGACGGGUGAGUAACACGUGGAUAACCUACCUAUAAGACUGGGAUAACUUCGGGAAACCGGAGCUAAUACCGGAUAACAUGUUGAACCGCAUGGUUCAACAGUGAAAGACGGUCUUGCUGUCACUUAUAGAUGGAUCCGCGUCGCAUUAGCUAGUUGGUAAGGUAACGGCUUACCAAGGCAACGAUGCGUAGCCGACCUGAGAGGGUGAUCGGCCACACUGGAACUGAGACACGGUCCAGACUCCUACGGGAGGCAGCAGUAGGGAAUCUUCCGCAAUGGGCGAAAGCCUGACGGAGCAACGCCGCGUGAGUGAAGAAGGUCUUCGGAUCGUAAAACUCUGUUAUUAGGGAAGAACAAAUGUGUAAGUAACUAUGCACGUCUUGACGGAACCUAAUCAGAAAGCCACGGCUAACUACGUG
This 497-nucleotide ribosomal RNA is filed under the name uncultured bacterium. Its description in RNAcentral is "partial 16S ribosomal RNA". It matches the Rfam family "Bacterial small subunit ribosomal RNA", at positions 28 to 507 of the family's 1533-position model. The record is from RNAcentral.